Molecule: ribosomal RNA, 497 nt
Filed under: uncultured bacterium
Lineage: Bacteria
Description: partial 16S ribosomal RNA
Rfam family: Bacterial small subunit ribosomal RNA
Source: RNAcentral
GAUGAACGCUGGCGGCGUGCCUAAUACAUGCAAGUCGAGCGAACGGACGAGAAGCUUGCUUCUCUGAUGUUAGCGGCGGACGGGUGAGUAACACGUGGAUAACCUACCUAUAAGACUGGGAUAACUUCGGGAAACCGGAGCUAAUACCGUAUAAUAUUUUGAACCGCAUGGUUCAAAAGUGAAAUACGGUCUUGCUGUCACUUAUAGAUGGAUCCGCGCUGCAUUAGCUAGUUGGUAAGGUAACGGCUUACCAAGGCAACGAUGCAUAGCCGACCUGAGAGGGUGAUCGGCCACACUGGAACUGAGACACGGUCCAGACUCCUACGGGAGGCAGCAGUAGGGAAUCUUCCGCAAUGGGCGAAAGCCUGACGGAGCAACGCCGCGUGAGUGAUGAAGGUCUUCGGAUCGUAAAACUCUGUUAUUAGGGAAGAACAUAUGUGUAAGUAACUGUGCACAUCUUGACGGUACCUAAUCAGAAAGCCACGGCUAACUACGUG